UCAAAACUUUCAACAACGGAUCUCUUGGUUCUGGCAUCGAUGAAGAACGCAGCGAAAUGCGAUAAGUAAUGUGAAUUGCAGAAUUCAGUGAAUCAUCGAAUCUUUGAACGCACAUUGCGCCCCUUGGUAUUCCGGGGGGCAUGCCUGUUCGAGCGUCAU
RNAcentral lists this ribosomal RNA (159 nucleotides) under ascomycete sp. CH-Aa. Its description in RNAcentral is "5.8S ribosomal RNA". It matches the Rfam family "5.8S ribosomal RNA". Rfam says of the family: 5.8S ribosomal RNA (5.8S rRNA) is a component of the large subunit of the eukaryotic ribosome. It is transcribed by RNA polymerase I as part of the 45S precursor that also contains 18S and 28S rRNA. Lineage: Eukaryota; Fungi; Ascomycota. The record is from RNAcentral.